Podarcis lilfordi (Lilford's wall lizard) is the source of this 71-nucleotide non-coding RNA. NCBI's taxonomy places the organism in Eukaryota, Metazoa, Chordata, Lepidosauria, Squamata, Lacertidae. The record is from the annotation of a GenBank genome assembly.
GUGAUAGCUCAGUUGGCUAGAGCAUAGUGCUGAUAAUGCCAAGGUUGCAGGUUCGAUCCCCAUAAGGGACA